Sinocyclocheilus rhinocerous is the source of this 671-nucleotide long non-coding RNA. RefSeq lists it as uncharacterized. NCBI's taxonomy places the organism in Eukaryota, Metazoa, Chordata, Actinopteri, Cypriniformes, Cyprinidae. The transcript has 5 exons. The record is from RefSeq and is a predicted model, not a curated record.
UGUUCAAUGUUUGCUACAGCUCAAACGCUGUUGUUUUAUUACUAAACUCAUUGCAAAAACAAUUGUAACCCAAAUCGAUUGACCUCUAACGACUACGUUAUGUUUAAAUAUCUGGGUGUUGACAGUAUGUUUUAGCAUGUUCACUGAACACGUUUGCAGUGCAAUGCAACUGAGAAAAAAACAGAAUUAAUUAAAACAUUUUUAGAGGGGGGGAUGCAAGGAAACGCUGCUCAUCAUUAACCCAUAGAGAUCCGUUCAUCGUGCUGUCAUCGAGCUCUGCAGCCUUUUAUGCCGAAUGUCUGCUCAGAAAAAGACAGAAUCAUCACAGCUGAGAAAAAGCCAUGUGUACAGGCUUUUACACGUAUGGUGAAGGUUUGGAGGCAAGGAUGCACAGGUCAUGCUUGGUGUAUGGACUAUGAAAGGAGGACUGCCUACUACAUAGGCUACAGGCAGGUCUACAGACAAGAUUUUAAGACUACAUACAAAUGCUGUCGUGGAUGGUCCCCGUUCAAUGCAGAGGCAGGCUGCCUCUAUCAUUCCAUGAGAGGGAUUCUGGCUUUGUUGCUGUUGUAAAUCGUGAACAGAAACUUUUCAUCAGAUGCUCAUUUUGGGGACCAGCAACAUUUCAAUAGACUCUUUAUCUUUGUUCAGGAUGGUUCAGGAUUGUUGUU